Molecule: long non-coding RNA, 2189 nt
Filed under: Podarcis lilfordi (Lilford's wall lizard)
Lineage: Eukaryota; Metazoa; Chordata; Lepidosauria; Squamata; Lacertidae
Source: RNAcentral
GGGCUGUCCAUGUCACCUAAACCAUACCGAAUUAAAGUAUUAUUGCGCACUUGAUUGUGAUGAGGGCAACAGCUUUGCUUUCAAAACUCAAUGAUAAUGCAGUAUGAACUAAUGCAGUGAGAACUAAUCCAUGAACCUUGUGCGACUAUAUUGCAUCUGUCAGGAGAACCAUGCUGGGUUUUUUGCUUAUUAUGAUUUUUAAAAAUCACUCUGAUGACAGGUAUGAGAUUAGCUAGAGAGUGAAUUUAAUCCAGGCUCUUCAUGAGCAAGUUGCCCAUAUAUCUUUGAUGUUUUGUCUUGCAGGGCAUAGAACUAUGGGAGGAGGGGACAUGCAGAUGAGGGAAAGGGUGAAAGGGUCUUCUGCAGUACCAAGACCCUGAGCUGGUGGAGGGAAUUGCUGCUCUUAACUGGGUCUCCCGACAGGGGAGCCAACUUGAAUAAAAUACUGUGGGGGCCCAGGUAAGCCCCACACCGCAUAAUUGAUCACACGAUGCAGUGCACACACACCAUUUUAAUGGGAAGGCCCAUCAACUUUGUGGAGGCCCCUCAAAUAUUUUAUUGUGGGGGCCAAAGCCACCACAGCCCCUAGGCGUUGGCUCCUAUGUCUCCUGAUGUUACAUCUAAUGGCUUCUGUAAGAAGGUGACCCAGAGGUUUUUGAGCCCACAGCUUGAUGAACCACAUUCUUUCUGUGGCUCCCCUGUUGAAGCCACUUACACUGGGAUUCCAUUACAGGAAGUGGGGAUUUCCCCAUAAGAGAGAGAACGAAGCUAAGAAAUAAGGGGAAUGUGUACCUAAGCAAAGAGAUGAAAGCGAGAGACUGUUCCCUAGCAUGUGAAAGAGGGCAGAGAAAGAGACUGAGAGAUCUUACUCUGGAAGGUAUUUGGCACCAUUCUGAAACCUGGUGCCUGUGCUGAGCUGAUGUCAGCUGCAGUUGAAACCAUCCGGGCAGCACCAGCUUGGGGAAGAGGUUGCAAGGGGUUUGGCCUCAGGACUCUUCUCCACCCUUGCCUUCUUCCUACCUUGCAGUUUUUCUCUGGAGAAAUAGCAGUAGCAAAUGGAUAUACUUCCCCACAUAAAAAAUCCAUUGCUCUUGUAACAAGGUAGCUGUAAACUGUUACCUAAACAACUUUCCAUGGUUUCGUUAUUGUUGCCAGAAUCGGUUAUGGCUGAUGCAAGGCUGUUGCUUCUUGCAUGCAUCUGACAACAUGCGCUUGGGUCCUCUAUAGGCUAGGCCCAGAGCUUUCCCCCCCAGGGGGUACUCAAAGAUACGCAGUACUAGCACCUCUUUUGUUGCUCCUGUUAAGAAGUGUGACGCUUAGUGUUAACAACUUCAUGGUGACUACUUGCACCUAUUUUUCUAGGGGGAAAAAGCACUGGUUGGGCCAAAUAAAAUUUUUAGAUUUUUGAGAUGCCACCAGUCUUGUCAUUAUUUUAAACUAUGUUUGCCUUAUUGUUUCACAUUAGUUCAUUGAACAAUUGAUAGACAGCAGGGCCAGCUAUAUCUAUCAUGUAAGCCUAGGGUAUUCCACUAUUCUUAUGCGGGUAUUCUUAUGAGGCAAAAGCCAUUCACCUGGCCUGAACAAAAAGUUCAUUUAAAAAGCAAGUAGGUGGCAGAGGCAGUCACAAAACACAAUCUUUGACUUCAACCAGAAUGAAUGUGGAAAGAAUUUUCAAUAUUGCUUCUAAAAUAAAAUGUGUUGGCAGUUCUUUAUCCUCCUGAGGCUUGUUGAAUGCUUGAACCAGCCUUCCUCAACCUGCAGAUGUUUUGGACAACAGCUCUAAUCAUUCUUAAAUAAUCUCUAACAAGCUCUGUCUGUUUCCUUAUGCUCUGGUUUGGAUCACUGAGAUCGUCUGAUGGGGCACUUCUGGUGGUUCCCGAUGCCCAUGGAGUUUGAGUGGCCUUUACUAGGGACUGAGACUUUAGUGUGUCAGCCCUGCUCCGUGGAACUCCUUGCUAGUAGAGACUUGGCAAUUUUCAUUCCUGCUGCCUUUUGGAUGCCUUUUAAAAAUGAUUUUAGUCAGACCUUUGCCACAGGAAUUUCUUUUCACUAACCAGUAUUGAUGUUUUACCUGAUGUUUUAAUUGACAUUUUUAUUCUCCUUAUUGUAAUUCUGUAUGCUGUAUUCCACCUUCUGCCCUGCUGUGGAAGUGUAGUCUAUAAAUAUUUUAAUAAAUACACAAUUGACAA